ACGGGUGAGUAACACGUAGGUAACCUACCUAUAAGACUGGGAUAACUUCGGGAAACCGGAGCUAAUACCGGAUAAUAUUUCGAACCGCAUGGUUCGAUAGUGAAAGAUGGCUUUGCUAUCACUUAUAGAUGGACCUGCGCCGUAUUAGCUAGUUGGUAAGGUAACGGCUUACCAAGGCAACGAUACGUAGCCGACCUGAGAGGGUGAUCGGCCACACUGGAACUGAGACACGGUCCAGACUCCUACGGGAGGCAGCAGUAGGGAAUCUUCCGCAAUGGGCGAAAGCCUGACGGAGCAAUGCCGCGUGAGUGAUGAAGGUCUUCGGAUCGUAAAACUCUGUUAUUAGGGAAGAACAAACGUGUAAGUAACUGUGCACGUCUUGACGGUACCUAAUCAGAAAGCCACGGCUAACUACGUGCCAGCAGCCGCGGUAAUACGUAGGUGGCAAGCGUUAUCCGGAAUUAUUGGGCGUAAAGCGCGCGUAGGCGGUUUUUUAAGUCUGAUGUGAAAGCCCACGGCUCAACCGUGGAGGGUCAUUGGAAACUGGAAAACUUGAGUGCAGAAGAGGAAAGUGGAAUUC
This 580-nucleotide ribosomal RNA is filed under the name uncultured Staphylococcus sp. RNAcentral's name for it is "bacterial SSU rRNA". It matches the Rfam family "Bacterial small subunit ribosomal RNA", at positions 102 to 669 of the family's 1533-position model. Lineage: Bacteria; Bacillati; Bacillota; Bacilli; Caryophanales; Staphylococcaceae. The record is from RNAcentral.